Molecule: long non-coding RNA, 285 nt
Filed under: Elaeis guineensis (African oil palm)
Lineage: Eukaryota; Viridiplantae; Streptophyta; Magnoliopsida; Arecales; Arecaceae
Description: long non-coding RNA (EGUI_LNC075727)
Source: RNAcentral
UGGCAUACUUUUUUCAAAAAAAAAUUUAGUAAAAUGGAUGAGACCCAUGCAUGCAAAUCAAGUCAAUGAAUGAAAGAUAAAGCCUGUAUCCAAAAAAAAACAAGAAAAAAAACAAAAAACAAAAUGAAAGAUACGGCAAAGACUAUUAGGCUGGCAUAUAGCACCAGAUUCAUACAUCACUGCCUAUGUGGAUAGAUCUUGGCAUAGAUUUUUUUUUAAUUUUUUUUCCUAUAAAAUUGACAGGCAGAUCCAUGCCAAUCUAGUCUGUUAAUGAAAGAUACAGUC